This 253-nucleotide ribosomal RNA is filed under the name uncultured bacterium. Its description in RNAcentral is "partial 16S ribosomal RNA". It matches the Rfam family "Bacterial small subunit ribosomal RNA", at positions 524 to 776 of the family's 1533-position model. The record is from RNAcentral.
UACGGAGGGUGCAAGCGUUAUCCGGAUUCACUGGGUUUAAAGGGCGCGUAGGCGGGCUACCAAGUCUGUGGUGAAAUCCUCCGGCUCAACCGGAGAACGGCCGUGGAUACUGGGAGCCUCGAGGGAGAUAGGGGCAGGCGGAACUGAUGGUGGAGCGGUGAAAUGCGUUGAUAUCAUCAGGAACUCCGGUGGCGAAGGCGGCCUGCUGGAUCUCAUCUGACGCUGAGGCGCGAAAGCCAGGGGAGCAAACGGG